Cygnus olor (mute swan) is the source of this 2963-nucleotide long non-coding RNA. RefSeq lists it as uncharacterized. The record is from RefSeq and is a predicted model, not a curated record. NCBI's taxonomy places the organism in Eukaryota, Metazoa, Chordata, Aves, Anseriformes, Anatidae. The transcript has 4 exons.
UGUUGGAAAGAGCAGGCUCGAUUAAUUACGUGUUCUCUUUACAAGUAUUUCUCUAAUGGUCAUCUUUUGGUUUCUGCAGAAUAAAAUCUGAAUCUGAAGAGUGAAAUCACUGCAUUUGCUGACUCAGAAAUUCUCAAUUAUUUCACCCCGUGCAUCCACAGUCAGCAGCAGCAGGCGCUGGCUCUCCGUCCGGCCUUUACCUCCUUGUUAGCUCACGCAAACGCGUCCUUGUGCUCCAGAAAUGGGCAUUUCAGCGUCCUGUGAAGUGUUCCUGGGUUCCAAGCUUUGUCUUUUGAACUGGAAGAUAUUAAGAAACCCAAGGGUCUGAAGCUACUCAGCGUGUCACUUCUAUUUAAAUAAGAGGCACUCUUCUUGCAGCAGAGAGCAGCGGGAGCCCUUCAAGGGAAGCGGUUCCGGUGCUGAGCAUCCUAGAAAAUCCCAUCCCGAGGAGCAGGGCAGUGCGAUUGUUCUCAGUGACUUCACCUAAAGCACCCGCGGUGCUUUAACUACAGGGAAGUAUACGUUUUUUGGGCCACGUUACCGAGCUGGCUACAAAUCCAGAGUAUUUCCAUCAGCAUCAGUGCUCGGAUGUGCAAUGGUGCCUCCGAGCUGGAUGUCCCAUGCAGCGAAGGGAAGGCAGAAUAUAGAGUUGCCAUCGCUUCCUGCCCCGAACGCCAUGGGAGAAAGGCCAGUUUUGAUCAGCGCCAUCCGUCCGGCGAUGUGGGGCCGGCUCAGCUUUCGGGGAUGAAAGACGGCUGUCAUCCGAAGCGCCAUGUGAGAAACCAGUGUCUGCUCUCGCAUGGCCUUUGGGGGAAGGGAGGCAGCGAGCGCUUUGCAUACAGGAAAAUGUCUGCUCGGGGGGUAUUUGAUUUCACUAAACAAAAUAUUAUCCGACCUCCUUUGCAUGGCUUUCAUACCAUAAUGGGGUUAAAACGAACAGCCAAAUGCAAAUGGUUACUUUUCUUGUUCCCUCUGUGUUCUCAUGCCCUCCACCAACCUUAGCCAUAAUAUCCUUUUUUUCUUAAAGAAAUAUAUGCAAGGAAAUUAAAAAGACAUCUCACUUUGGCUAGCAAUAAAUAGCGUGGAAUUCAGUCAAAUCCUAACGAUUAGAUACUGUUUAUUUCUCCUAGAAAUACUUCUCAGGCUGAAUGUGUGACUUGAAACGAGCGGUUUUGGUUCCAAAUUUUAAAUUCAUGUGUAUGUCAGGAAAACAUUUGCAGGAUUUGAUGAAAGCUGUUGCUACUUGAAACAAUAUUUGUUCUUGCAGCCUGUGUGUUGUAAUUGCAUGUGCAAUUGGAGGAGAGUAGCAGGAGUUCUCUGAGCAUGAACUUACUUUUCACCUUUCAGAGGAAUAUAAAUAAAUAAGAAAGGAAGUAUUUAAUGUGGUAUAUUUAAAUUAGCUCUCUUAAUUGGAAAACAGCUCCUGUUUUUUAGUCUCCCAUGUGGCUUCUUUGGUCUUUAUUAGUCUUCUCAUCACUUCAGAGCUCUGAAAUAUGAGUGAUUUUUGUAUAUGCAGAAGAAGGAUUUUGUAAUCUUCCAUUUUUUUCUGUUUUGCCUGAAUCUAUCAAACUUUUUUUUCAAUGAAGUGAAAGGGAAAACAGCUUGAAGUGGAUUUUUCCUGUUUCACAAGAUGUGCUCCUUGCUCAAGUUCUGCAGAACUUGCUAGUUCAAGCCAAACUAGGAAAUAUUUUGGAUAUUUUAUGUUCAUUAAUCUGUGAUGUUUUGGGAUUUGGUGCUUCCAUGGUGUGUGUUGGACAUAAGCCUGGGUAAAAAUGCCCUGGAAAUGGGUGCGCCAGGCAGGUGAGGUUCUGGCAGCCCUUUUCUGGUCUGCACCAGCAGCUUCUGUCCUGGGCCAGUUUUCACCCAGGGAGGUUCCAGGGUUUGUCUCCCUCAGAUCAGACCCGGGUUUGUCUGAAGAUGCAGUCUGCAGGAGGGUCACCCUUAGAGAACACAGACACUCGAGGUUUGGAAAUUCACUGUUAAUUCACUGCCUGCUUGCCAAGGCAGUGGUUUUGUUAUUUUUUGUGCUGUGCUUUAAUGAUGAUCUUGCCCUCUGUGGAACUCCGCUGUUUGUUGAGAUUUGGAAGUGAAAUGGCAUAUGCUGGCCUUUGUGAUUUACAUUGUCUUUGGCAGAAGGCUUAUUCAAAGCUGCUGAGAGUAUUUGGAAGCAUCAUCUGGUCCAGAGUGCGCCUGCAUUUCUCACCCAUGUUCUUUUAUCAGCAGCAGAGUGCUCUUUGGGGCAGUGCUGCGGAGCGACUCUGCCGAAUUGUUUCUGUUGGCAAUUCAAAGACCUGGGGUUUUGUUUGGGUUUUAGUGUGUUCUUCUGUCAGCCAACAUCUGCUUGGAUGUUUUCUGUUAGCAUCCCUUUAAUUUGGGGAUAUGCUUUGCUCAAUUGCAACUCUGAAGUUAUAGGAAGAUAUUUUGACCAAACCUGUUCUACCUUACGCUAAUGGACAUGCAGAAUAAAUGCAUGCUGUGACCGAUGCUGGUAGCUUGUCUUUGGUGAAGAGGCCAUGAUUUAAAAGUUUCCAGUUCCCUUGGUUCGACAAGACUCCGAUCUCUUGACCAUCGAAGCACGUUGCCAGGCUUGCCUGCUCACCUGGGCUGCCUAAUGAAGGAGAGAUGGAAGGAAGAACGCACCUACGGGUCAGGAACGGGAAGUGGUAGUCACUGAUAGCUGAUUCAUGAAAUACUUCACAUUUGUGUAAACCAAAAAAAAUAAUAAUUAAACGCAUGUUUUUGUACACGUGCCAAAAGCGUGGGACAGCUAUAGACUAAAAUGAACGCCCUGAUCUGGCGUUAGGAACGCGGUGCGGUUCAGUUCUCAUGUGCGCAUGAUGAACAGCAGAGAAGCAUACCGUACCACGAAGGAGCGCAGCAGUGCCAGCUCGUCAGUUGUUUUGUGUUUAUAAGCAGAUGCUUAUUCUUUAAUGUAGGGAACGGUCGGUAUAUUACCCACAGUG